UACGGAAGGCAGCAGUGGGGAAUAUUGCACAAUGGGCGCAAGCCUGAUGCAGCCAUGCCGCGUGUAUGAAAAAGGCCUUCGGGUUGUAAAGUACUUUCAGUCGUGAGGAAGGUGUUAAGGUUAAUAACCUUAGCAAUUGACGUUAGCGACAGAAGAAGCACCGGCUAACUCCGUGCCAGCAGCCGCGGUAAUACGGAGGGUGCGAGCGUUAAUCGGAAUUACUGGGCGUAAAGGGCACGCAGGCGGUUAAUAAGUUGGAUGUGAAAUCCCCGGGCUUAACCUGGGAAUGGCAUUCAAGACUGGUUAGCUAGAGUCUUGUAGAGGGGGGUAGAAUUCCAUGUGUAGCGGUGAAAUGCGUAGAGAUGUGGAGGAAUACCGGUGGCGAAGGCGGCCCCUGGGACAAAGACUGACGCUCAUGUGCGAAAGCGUGGGGAGCAAACAGGGAUUAGAUAC
This 453-nucleotide ribosomal RNA is filed under the name uncultured bacterium. Its description in RNAcentral is "bacterial SSU rRNA". It matches the Rfam family "Bacterial small subunit ribosomal RNA", at positions 340 to 785 of the family's 1533-position model. The record is from RNAcentral.